CUUAUCAAGAGUGGCGGAGGAACAGGUCCUGUGAAGCCCGGCAACCUAGUAUAAAGCUAAGGUGCUAAUUCCUGCGGUGUAUUCCGAGAGAUGAGG
This 96-nucleotide non-coding RNA is filed under the name uncultured Ruminococcus sp. RNAcentral describes it as "SAM riboswitch (S box leader)". It matches the Rfam family "SAM riboswitch aptamer (S box leader)". Rfam says of the family: The SAM riboswitch is found upstream of a number of genes which code for proteins involved in methionine or cysteine biosynthesis in Gram-positive bacteria. The SAM riboswitch acts at the level of transcription termination control. The predicted structure consists of a complex stem-loop region followed by a single stem loop terminator region. Lineage: Bacteria; Bacillati; Bacillota; Clostridia; Eubacteriales; Oscillospiraceae. The record is from RNAcentral.